GUGCUGGCUUUGGCAGCACACAUAACAUUGGAACAGUGCAGAAAAUAUUCACAUGGGCCCUGCGCAAGGACAACAUGCAAAUUCGUGAAGCAUUCCAUAUCUGC
Molecule: small nuclear RNA, 104 nt
Organism: Phyllostomus discolor (pale spear-nosed bat)
Lineage: Eukaryota; Metazoa; Chordata; Mammalia; Chiroptera; Phyllostomidae
Source: RefSeq, a predicted model, not a curated record